This 253-nucleotide ribosomal RNA is filed under the name uncultured bacterium. Its description in RNAcentral is "partial 16S ribosomal RNA". It matches the Rfam family "Bacterial small subunit ribosomal RNA", at positions 524 to 776 of the family's 1533-position model. The record is from RNAcentral.
UACAGAGGUCUCAAGCGUUGUUCGGAUUCAUUGGGCGUAAAGGGCGCGUAGGCGGACUCUUAAGUCGGGGGUGAAAGCCCAGGGCUCAACCCUGGAAUUGCCUUCGAUACUGAGAGUCUUGAGUUCGGAAGAGGUUGGUGGAACUGCGAGUGUAGAGGUGAAAUUCGUAGAUAUUCGCAAGAACACCAGUGGCGAAGGCGGCCAACUGGUCCGAUACUGACGCUGAGGCGCGAAAGCGUGGGGAGCAAACAGG